UAACACCAGCGCCACAAGUGGCGAUCAUGAUUAUUGGGCCUAAAGCGUUCGUAGCCGGUUUGAUAAAUUUUUUGUGAAACUGUCUGGCUCAACCAGACAUCGUGCAAGAAAGACUGUCAAACUUGAGACCGGGAGGAGCUAGGAGUAUUCAUGGGGGAGCGGUAAAAUGUUAUAAUCCCUUGAGGACUACCUGUGGCGAAGGCGCCUAGCUAGGACGGAUCUGACGGUGAGGGACGAAAGCCAGGGGAGCAAUCCGGAUUAGAUACCCGAGUAGUCCUGGCCGUAAACGCUGUGAGUUAGGUGUUGCACAUACUUCGAGUAUGUGCAGUGUCGAAGCGAAGGUGUUAAACUCACCGCCUGGGAAGUACGGUCGCAAGACUG
This 381-nucleotide ribosomal RNA is filed under the name uncultured Halobacteria archaeon. RNAcentral's name for it is "bacterial SSU rRNA". It matches the Rfam family "Archaeal small subunit ribosomal RNA", at positions 471 to 851 of the family's 1478-position model. The record is from RNAcentral. Lineage: Archaea; Methanobacteriati; Methanobacteriota; Halobacteria.